This is a long non-coding RNA of Cyprinus carpio carpio, 1344 nucleotides long. NCBI's taxonomy places the organism in Eukaryota, Metazoa, Chordata, Actinopteri, Cypriniformes, Cyprinidae. The record is from Ensembl.
CAGAGUAGUGCGGGUCUCGGCACCGUGCUGCCUCUUACUAGUUUCGAGAACAUCCUUUUUUUUCUCUUCAGUAUAACUCUCGCCACAGCCAUCAUUUGUAUCAACGUGUCCGUGUUUGUGUCCAUCGUGAUGAACAGAUCCCUGCGCAGCGAGAACCGCUUCAUGUACAUGCUCAGCACGUGUCUCAGUGACUUCUGCACGGGCGUCUCCUAUUAUUAUGUUGGAGUUAUGGAUGUACGCGAUUAUUAUGACUCACCGACUCGCACUUUCUACAUUGUUCCCAUUUUCUUGGGUCUGUCCUAUAUGGCGAUUCUGGCCGCGCAGGCGGACCGCUACCACGCGGUCUCAGCGCCUUUCAAAUACUCGCAGCGCAUGACGCGGAGCAGAACCCUGCUGGUGAUUCUGGCCUACUGGCUUUAUGCUUUUCUCAUAGUGGCUGUUAAUAAUUUGGUGCCUGUGGAGGUUGCUAAAAGAGUGACGGGCUUUGGUACUUUAGUAGUGAACAUUUUCACCGUCAUUAUCAUGAUUGGGUUGAACGUCAGGCUGUUCUUCAUCGCCAGAUUUCAGCUGGAACGCGAACCCCCGAGCGAGGAACGCGACAACAAGCGCGCGUCCAUUUAUCUCAUCAUAAUAGUGGCCGUGUGUUUUCUGAUCGCGUGGUUGCCUCUUUUUCUUCAUGUCAUUAUAUGUAAUUUUGCUGGGUCUACGUGCUAUACGUUCAGAAAUGAGGGCACAGACCCCCUGCGCAUUUUGGCGCGUCUCAAUGCAGUCAUCACACCAUUACUGUACAUCAGAGGCUGUACUGCACUCAGGAGCACCAUAAUGAUUCAAGUCUGGAGAAUAGCAUGCUACAAGAGGAAAGGGAUGAAGAUGCCAGGAUUCAUUGGGCUCAAAUUUUGAAAGACUGGUUCAAGGAACAUGAGGAAUCAUUUUCACACAUGAACUGGCCACCACAGAGUCCUGAGCUCAACUCCACUGAAAGUCUUUGGAUGUGCUGGAGUCAACUUUACAGAGUGGUCCGACUCUCCCAUUUUCAAUACAAGAUCUUGGCCGAAAAUCAAUGCAACUCUUGAUGGAAAUAAAUGCUGUGAUGUUGCAUAAAGUAGUCAAAACAAUGCCACAACAAAAGCACAUGGUACUAAAAGCUAAAGGUGCUCCAACAAAAUGUUAAAGUGUGCAGCCUUUUUUUUAUUUUUUAUUUUUGGCUAGGCAGUGUAUAUUUAAAUAUUCAGUAAACAUUUGUGAAUCCAAAACACACAAGUUAAAGCUAACUCUAGUAUGAGCAGUUUCAUGUCCCUGUCCUUUUUUUUCCCACUUGGCAUGUCUGUUGAAUCUUCAAAUAGC